AUUGUUGUAAAUUAAUAGUCAAUUGAUAUUGAUUACAGAAACUGUCAAUUAAUCUUAUUAAUCAUCGUUGAAGACAAUUGAACUUUCUAAUUGUCAAGAAUUGGCCGAGGUACAGUGAUUUUAAAUAGAUCUAUUGAAUGACUCAAGUGCAGUGUAGUGUUGUUGACGAGAAUAAUCAAUCGGCGAUCGUGUGGCGUCAUCUUUUCGAGAGCGUCAAGUAGCAGUUAUUAAGAAAGGAAACUGGUUUAAUGCCAGGAACAAGGAGAUUGCUCGUAAUUUCAACGAAUUGUUGCAGACGUGUUGCUCCUCUGAGCUUCUAGCACGGCUCGCAAACGGAACUGGUCUUAUCUUGGAACGAAUGGAGCGGAGAGAAACGUCGGAAGAAUCACAACGAACGAAAGCAAAUAAACGUACGCCUUCUUCCAGUAACGGGAAGAACGACUAGCGCCUGGCAUCGUUGCUAAAGAAGAAGAGGAUGAGAAGAAAAAGAAGAAAAAAGAAGAAGAAAAAAAAAAAAAGAAAAAAGAAAAAGAGAAAGUCGAGAGUCGAGUAGAAGCUGGCGUAGCGCGAUAAAGUGUGUAACGUUGAGAACGAAAAAGCAAGGGUAGCUACUAGAAAACAACUCUGGAUAUUCUAAUUUCAUGAAUCUCCAUCGCGUUCUCGCUGGAAUCACAAAGUACAAUUUUUAUCUUUCUUUUUAUGAUAUUAAGAGUAUUACACGUGUGCAGUGAUAAAUUAUUUACGUAUGUGUAUAUGUGUAUGUAUGUAUGUUUAUCUUGAUAAAAAGUUUUAUUAAAAAGUACGUAAAAAUAUAUGGGGUCAUUGUACUUUAAUCUGUCACGUAGCAUUAUCGUUAAGUGUCAACUAACCUGAAAUCAUACAAUAUCUCAUUCCACGUAUCGAACUUAGUACAAUUUCAAUUCUUUUAUCUUCUCGUAUUUGCUGAAUGAUUCAUACUCGAGUUUCCCCACCCAUUACGGAGUCUUGAAAGAUAACAAAUAAUCUGUAAAGUGGUCUCUGAACAACGAAAAUAACAGAUCGAUGAGCCGUGCUACGGGCAAUUGCCGUUUUAAAAUGGAGUCUUUCGGUUGUCGGGAAAUUUACAAGAUAAAGAAGAGCACAAAUGGUUCGGGACAUGAAGAGAAAGGAGUUAAAACUCUUUGAUCCUGAGAGAAAGAGAGAGAUAGAGAUAGAGAUGGAAAGAGGGAGAGAGGGGGAGAAAGGGGGGGGUGAGAGAGAGAGAGAGAGCAGAGGAAGAAGACUUACGCGUUAGAUUCCACAAAGCAGACGUUUUAGUGGCUCACAUUGGGUAUUUCGCUGAUUCUCGUACAGGAAAGACUGACUCAUCGUUGUCUUCUGGAGAAAUCAAAUCUUUCGGCAUUGGCCAGGCGUGGCGCCCGGCAAUCAAAACGAUUAUUCGAAGACGAGACGGGCAAGAGUAGGGUUCACGGCAGCUGGUCUAAAAGAAGAUUCUAAGUGUGUUGGAAGAAGAAAAGAGCUUCUAUCUUUCUCUCUUUCUCUUUCACUCUCACUUUUUCAUCCUUCUUUCUCACCACAUUCCGUCGCUUCGCGUCUGGACGCCUUAACAAGCCUCUAAUGAGGAACGGGUGUUACUUGUGUCCGUCGCGGUACUUUUGCGCAAUUACCAUUUAUCACAUCUGCCUCUUCACCUUUUCUCUCCCACUAUCUUCCUUUUCCUUAUUUCCUUUUUCUCUCCCUCCCCUCCUCCCUCCUCCUCCCUUCUUUCUGCCUUUUUCUCUUUUUGGCACGUACUACUGUUACCGGCUUAUGACUAAGUUAUUUUUCAUCUUAUCUUUCUUUAUUUUGAUGUUCGUUUGCUUGCUUUUUUUUUUUUCUUUUCUUUCGUUUUCAUUUUUACGUUCAACCGUUUCAAAUGACUUGAGAAAAAAAUAGUCGGUGAGAUUUGACGAGGGUUUAAUUAUUCUUUUUUUCUUUUUUUAUGUGCUUUGUACAACACAAAUUAUUGUCAUGUAAUAUACGCAUAAAGAUUUAAUAUAUUUAUCAUGGAAUUAUGUUUAUCGAUUGAAUCUCAGUUAAACACAAUUCCGAUAUAAUUUAUUAACGAGAAGAAGAUAGAAGAAGAAAAAAAGAAAAGAGAAGAGACGGAGAAAAGAAAAAGUGGGCCAGCUAUAGGUAGAAUCGGUUGCGCAGGAGAGGUAUAACGACGGAAAUCAGAUUUCCAUCGUCACGUAGAGCCAGUAGCAACGUAAGAGGGUGUCGAUCCCGUGGAUUCUCGAGGAUGCCUGAUACGAUCACGCCAGAUCGAAUCUUUACGUUGAGCCUCCGUAGAAAAGAAAGAGAAAAGGAAGAAGAGGAGAUGAGGAGGAGAGGCCGAGAAUCGAAGUAGACGAAAAGAGAAAGAAGUCAGAGGUGCUUUUGAAAACGGGAAAGAUAGGGCGAUAAAAGGGUAAGAGGAGAGGUGAUGCUAGCCCAGAGAUUCUUUCGAGACGGUUAUUUCUUCGUUCAUUAACUUUUACGGUCGAGGAGAAUACCCCUACUUUUCUCUUACGUGAGAUAGAAAGAAAGAGAAAGAGAUCUAGCGAGAUCUCCGUUCCUUUGCGAUUUUCAAUGGCGUGCGACCUCAUUACUGAAAUGGUACUCAUUACCGUUGUAGCGAAGAGAGAAAGAGAGUAGGAGGGGUAAAAUGUGAGAGAGAAGUGUGAGAAGUGUGAGAAGCAUUUUGUCACGGUGUUACGUACACACGCCGCGCCGGCUGUGUAACCCGUAAAAAGGACCGCUUGCUAAUGACCACCGGUUAUUCAACCACACGUAUAACUGUAGCUUUAGCUGAUGUUGAAAAAAGAAGGAGUUGGGUUAGAUGGAGAGAUUGAAUGGGGGUAGGCAAGGUUGGAAACGGAAGGUCGAAAGAGGCAGGAUAUGUUCAAGUUGAAUUAAAACUUUCAAGAUAGGACAAACCGGAAACGGAAGGCACGUAGAAAACGGAGUACUCACUGCAGUCUACUUGUUCUAUGUUUUUGUCUUUUUCAACGGAUUGCUUGAAACUGUACAUGACAUAGGAUAUAUUUCUUAUAUACGAUAUUUCUUUCUAUCAAGAGAAAGAACAUUGAUCGGGUAACGAUUGAUUCAUUGAUAAAUUAUUGAUCAUGACACUUAAACAUUUGUCCUUGGUUGAAAAGCAUGCAAUAUCGUGCACUUGAAACGGUUCACUUUGCUGCCCACGAAUUUGAAAUCGAUGCAGAUGCACGCUGUGCACUUCGAUGAGUUAGUCGAUACUAAUAUAACGUUAGUACACCUAACGAAGAGUUUACACUAGCUUGAUCUUUCAUCAGGUCAAGCAAAUUAGCACGUAAGGCAAACAGACGUACCGGUAGUCCAUCGUUUCUCUUUCUCUCUCUCUCAUACACAUAUACACACAAUCCCUACCAACACUUUCACUCGAAAGGCCUUCCCUUUUGAGAUCGAUUAUCCCCUAUUGGAUAGUGCAGCUGGUUUCUACCCUUUCGAAACUUAACAGAGCAGCAUCGAUAAUGCACUGAGGGAAAGGGCCAAUGUCUGAUCGAAGGGUAGAAAGGGAAAGAGUGAACUCGUAAAUUUCCUUUGGUUAAGAUCAUAGACCACAGAGAAGAUACAUAUAAACAGUUUACAGUAACUUGGCUUCUUCGGCCGCACAUGGACCGUAGCCCUGCCUGGAGGCGGCUAAGCGAGUUUUUAGAUGACUAGAUUGACUUUCGGAAAAUAAACAGGUUAUCGUGUGAUUUAUACACGUUGCCUGUGUUCCCUCAUAUAUUAUAUCAGAUCUUCUAAGAAAAUUUCAUCAAAUGUUAAGUAUUUGUCAAAGUAUAUUAAAUAUUUUUUAUUUUUAUUA
Long non-coding RNA from Vespa crabro (European hornet), 3847 nucleotides. RefSeq lists it as uncharacterized. The record is from RefSeq and is a predicted model, not a curated record. Lineage: Eukaryota; Metazoa; Arthropoda; Insecta; Hymenoptera; Vespidae. The transcript is spliced from 3 exons.